AUCAAAGAAGGAGGUACCUUUCUCUGAAGGGAGGAGAGAACUUCCAUUUUGACUAUGACCUUGUCUAAGUAAGAUCAGAGUUGGUGAACUCAAGAGGCUUCCAUAGCCUUGCCAGCUCAUGACAAGAGCCUUGGGUGAUUACUGAAGUCAUAAAUAAGAAUGUCAAUUGUUAAAUCAACAACGGCAGUCACUGUGCACCUACUCCCCAUGUAAGACCUCUGCCCUUAAUGUGUUGUGCUAUGCGAAUUAACGGUAAAACUACUACUCAAACAGUACUCUAUACUGUGUCUGUGUGGGUGCAGUUUGUUGAAAUCUUUACUUAGUAUAUAGUAACUUGAUCUUCUGUAUAUAAAGAUAAUUAAAAAUGAAUCUGGAUGAAGAAUGGGAUGGGAGAAGGAGUGGGAGAUGGGAUGGUUGUGAGUGGGAGAGAGGUUAUGGGAGGGGAAGAGCUGCUAUAAUACAAUAGUUGUACUUUGGAAAUUUAUAUUUAUUAAAUAAAAGUUGAAAAAAAUAAAAGGACUACAAAAGAUUAUUUUGUUGUACUGGAACAAUGGCAUAGUAUUCUAAGCCUCUGCUUGUGGUGCUGGCAUUCUACUAUACUGGCACCAGUUCUGGUCCUGGCUUCACCUCUUCUGCUCCUGCUCUCUGCUAUGGCCUGGGAAAGCAGAAGAUGGCCCAAAUGCUUGGGCCCCUGCACCUAUGUGGGAGAGCUGGAAGAAGCUCCUGGCUCUUGGAUUCAUAUUAGCCCAGAUCCAGCUAUUGUGGCCAUCUAGGGAGUGAACUAGUGAAUGGAAGACCUUUCUCUCCAUCUCUUCCUCUGUCUGUAACUCUACUUCUCAUAUUAAUAAAAAAAAAGAAAUUGUUUUGUUCUAAAUGCUUAUAGCCCCUGUGAAAAGUUGAAAAAAGUAUUAUAAUUCAAACUGUUUUGCUUAUGUCUUAUAUAUCAAAGCAAUGAGUUGUCUUUUCCUGGAAGAAGCUAUAGAAUCCUCCUCUAGAUCAAUGCAGCUAUUCCAAAGUGAUGGUUUUUCUACCUUGAGCAGCUUCCUAAUGAUUGAAGCUUCCUCACCUUCUGCAUUCUGGAUCAGAAGGAUUUGUAGGAGAAGAAACAAAGAGGGGCUUGCAUGUAAAGAGAACAAUUAAAGCGGCCAAAACAUUUAUGAUAGUAAGUGAUGAAAAAGAAAGUUGAAUAAUUACGGUAAGUCACAGAAUAAUUAUGGUGAGUCCCAGAAAAGCCACAACCAAACACAAGGGCUUGAACUUUAAAUAUUAGACAUAGGCAUUAUGUAUUGGGAAUGCUUAUGGAAAACUGGGUCCAAAGAACCUGAAGUCUGAGGCUGGGAACAACUGGGUCAGAGGUCAUUUUAGUUAUAAAUUUGAAAGACAGUGAUUUUUUUCUAUAUAACAAAAUGUAUUAAAAUAUUUUACCUGUUAAUUCCUCUUGAUAAAUAUGAUGGGAAUAAGUUUUUAAAAAGAGCAGUAAAGUAGAUUAGUUCACAUAUCUAUGAAUGAAAUCAUGUUUAACUUCAUCCUCUGCCAUUUUUCAAGUACUAUAGUGGCAGAGAUACUUGGGUAAAGACAGGUUAGAGUUACCAUUUAGCUAUAAGGUACAGUACCACGGAACAAUGAGUAUUAAAACCCACUCCCUCCAUUUGUUCUUUCAUCCUAUAUCUCCUCAGUACUAUGAACCAUAAAGUGAGCUGAUCUCACAGAAGAGUUGAAGAAAUGAAAUGAAAUGAAAUGGCAGAAUGGCUUAGAUAAACCAUUAUGAGAAAUGCAGUUUUUCAAAAUAUUGCAUCCCUUUGUACACAAACCAGAAGCCGGGUGAUAAGGGAGCCUUUGAGGAAGACUUGGAGGUCAGUAUCACAGGAAACCAAGAGCCGAUGAGGUGAGUAGCUCUGAGAGGCAAAGAAAGUGCCCAAAGUGGGCAAUGGUUGUGAGGGGGUUAA
This is a non-coding RNA of Oryctolagus cuniculus (rabbit), 1946 nucleotides long. The record is from RefSeq and is a predicted model, not a curated record. NCBI's taxonomy places the organism in Eukaryota, Metazoa, Chordata, Mammalia, Lagomorpha, Leporidae.